CAGCAGCCACGGGAAUACGGAGGGGGCUAGCGUUGUUCGGAAUUACUGGGCGUAAAGCGCACGUAGGCGGCUUGGUAAGUUAGAGGUGAAAGCCUGGAGCUCAACUCCAGAAUUGCCUUUAAGACUGCCGAGCUAGCAGGUGAGAGAGGUAAGUGGAAUUCCGAGUGUAGAGGUGAAAUUCGUAGAUAUUCGGAAGAACACCAGUGGCGAAGGCGGCUUACUGGCUCAUACUGGACGCUGAGGUGCGAAAGCGUGGGGAGCAAACAGGAUUAGAUACCCGUGUAGUCCCUGUCUCUUAUAC
RNAcentral lists this ribosomal RNA (301 nucleotides) under uncultured bacterium. RNAcentral's name for it is "partial 16S ribosomal RNA". It matches the Rfam family "Bacterial small subunit ribosomal RNA", at positions 509 to 807 of the family's 1533-position model. The record is from RNAcentral.